AGCGAACGCUGGCGGCAGGCCUAACGCAUGCAAGUCGAGCGCCCCGCAAGGGGAGCGGCAGACGGGAGAGUAACACGUGGGAACGUACCCUUCAGUUCGGAACAACCAAGGGAAACUUUGGCUAAUACCGAAUACGUCCGUAAGGAGAAAGAUUUAUCGCUGAAGGAUCGGCCCGCGUCUGAUUAGCUAGUUGGUGGGGUAACGGCCCACCAAGGCGACGAUCAGUAGCUGGUCUGAGAGAAUGAUCAGCCUCACUGGGACUGAGACACGGCCCAGACUCCUACGAGAGGCAGCAGUGGGGAAUAUUGGACAAUGGGCGCAAGCCUGAUCCAGCCAUGCCGCGUGGAUGAUGAAGGCCCUAGGGUUGUAAAGUCCUUUCGGCGGGGUAGAUAAUGACGGUACCCGCAGAAGAAGCCCCGGCUAACUUCGUGCCAGCCGCCGCCGUAA
RNAcentral lists this ribosomal RNA (447 nucleotides) under uncultured bacterium. Its description in RNAcentral is "partial 16S ribosomal RNA". It matches the Rfam family "Bacterial small subunit ribosomal RNA", at positions 29 to 523 of the family's 1533-position model. The record is from RNAcentral.